UCACUCAGGUUUCUCUUCAGAUCGUAUAAAUCUUUAGCCUUUUACUAAAGAUUUCCAGUGGAAGAAACAAUAUGAGUUUCAACCAAUUUUGAUGUUCUGCCGUAGGUGGGGCU
The sequence is a small nuclear RNA, 113 nucleotides long. Its record names the gene U5. It matches the Rfam family "U5 spliceosomal RNA". Rfam says of the family: U5 RNA is a component of both types of known spliceosome. The precise function of this molecule is unknown, though it is known that the 5' loop is required for splice site selection and p220 binding, and that both the 3' stem-loop and the Sm site are important for Sm protein binding and cap methylation. The record is from Ensembl.